Molecule: ribosomal RNA, 585 nt
Filed under: uncultured bacterium
Lineage: Bacteria
Description: partial 16S ribosomal RNA
Rfam family: Bacterial small subunit ribosomal RNA
Source: RNAcentral
CGGGGAAUUUUGGACAAUGGGCGAAAGCCUGAUCCAGCAAUGCCGCGUGUGUGAAGAAGGCCUUCGGGUUGUAAAGCACUUUUGUCCGGAAAGAAAUCCUUGGCUCUAAUACAGUCGGGGGAUGACGGUACCGGAAGAAUAAGCACCGGCUAACUACGUGCCAGCAGCCGCGGUAAUACGUAGGGUGCAAGCGUUAAUCGGAAUUACUGGGCGUAAAGCGUGCGCAGGCGGUUUGCUAAGACCGAUGUGAAAUCCCCGGACUCAACCUGGGAACUGCAUUGGUGACUGGCAGGCUAGAGUAUGGCAGAGGGGGGUAGAAUUCCACGUGUAGCAGUGAAAUGCGUAGAGAUGUGGAGGAAUACCGAUGGCGAAGGCAGCCCCCUGGGCCAAUACUGACGCUCAUGCACGAAAGCGUGGGGAGCAAACAGGAUUAGAUACCCUGGUAGUCCACGCCCUAAAACGAUGUCAACUAGUUGUUGGGGAUUCAUUUCCUUAGUAACGUAGCUAACGCGUGAAGUUGACCGCCUGGGGAGUACGGUCGCAAGAUUAAAACUUAAAGGAAUUGACGGGGUCAUAGCUGUUUCC